This is a small nucleolar RNA of Benincasa hispida (wax gourd), 104 nucleotides long. Lineage: Eukaryota; Viridiplantae; Streptophyta; Magnoliopsida; Cucurbitales; Cucurbitaceae. The record is from RefSeq and is a predicted model, not a curated record.
AGUCCAUGGUUAGGACAAUUAUUGACCAAUCCCUUGAAUCGUUCCCAUGCAGUGCUCAAGGUUUCAAAUUCUCUUUGUUCAAAGUUCAUAAUCUCCCUACGCCU